CCUGGUGGCUGCAGUGGGGAAUAUUGGGCAAUGGGCGCAAGCCUGACCCAGCAACGCCGCGUGAAGGAAGAAGGCUUUCGGGUUGUAAACUUCUUUUCUCAGGGACGAAGAAAGUGACGGUACCUGAGGAAUAAGCCACGGCUAACUACGUGCCAGCAGCCGCGGUAAUACGUAGGUGGCAAGCGUUAUCCUGAUUUACUGGGUGUAAAGGGCGUGUAGGCGGGACUUCAAGUCAGAUGUGAAACCCACGGGCUCAACCUGUGGACUGCAUUUGAAACUGUAGUUCUUGAGUACUGGAGAGGCAGACGGAAUUCCUAGUGUAGCGGUGAAAUGCGUAGAUAUUAGGAGGAACACCAGUGGCGAAGGCGGUCUGCUGGACAGCAACUGACGCUGAGGCGCGAAAGCGUGGGGAGCAAACAGGAUUAGAUACCCCUGUAGUC
This 440-nucleotide ribosomal RNA is filed under the name uncultured bacterium. RNAcentral's name for it is "partial 16S ribosomal RNA". It matches the Rfam family "Bacterial small subunit ribosomal RNA", at positions 341 to 795 of the family's 1533-position model. The record is from RNAcentral.